CUACACAUGCAAGUCGAGCGGUAGUGAUGGGAGCUUGGUCCUUGAGCUCGACGGUGGACGGGUGAGUAACUCAUGCUUGACCUGCCGCCUUGACUGGGAUGACUCCGGGAAACCGGGACUGCUACUGGAUAGUUCUUUUCCUCGAAUGAAGGUGACCGCAAUUGUGGCUUUUUCCUACCACUUACAGACGGACCCGCAUUACAUUAUCUGGUUGGUGAGAGCUCACCUCACCAACGAUCCCAUGCUGAUCCUACCUGAUGAGGUGACCCACUGCACUGGAACUGAGACCCGGACUCCACUCCUACGGGAGGCAGCGGAAUGUUGUCUUCCGCAAUGAACUAUGAUCUGACCGAGCCGCGCGGGGGGAGAGAGGUUUGUUUUCGGAUCGCACUUUUCUGUUGGAAGAGAAGAACAUGUGUCGUUCGAAUAAUCUGGGACCUUGCUCGCACAUAACCAGAAAGCUACGUCUAAGUCCGUGCCCGCAGCCGUGGUAAUGCUGCGAUGGUUAGUCUUAAUUGGAGUUAUUGGACGGCGAGCGCGCGGAUGAUUUCUCUUAAUGCUGAUGUCCAAGCCUCCGGCUCGACCCUGCAUUUGCAUUGGAUUCUGUAGGACUUGGUUAAAGAAGAGGAAAUUGCAAUUCCACCUGUAACGUGGAUAUGCAUCUAUAUGAGUAGGAACGCCGAAGGCGAACGCCAGUUUCAGGACUGACACUGACGCUGAGACGCGAGAGGAGGAAAAGCGAUUAGAUUUACAUACCCUGCAAGCCCACAACGAUGACUAUGAGAGCUUAGUGUUUAAAUGUCUCGGGUUUCUAAUGUUACGCCUAACAUAUACCGCCCUCCGACUGCGGACGCCGGGCUCAAGAUUGAAUCUCAUGAGAAUUGACCGCGCCCCCCGCGGGCCUGUCUAUUAAGUCUAGAUGUGAAAGCCCGCGGCUACACCCGUGGAGUGUCUUUGGAAACGUGGGGAUUUAGAGUUCAUAAAGAGGAGAGUGAAAUUCUCACGUGUAGCGGUGAAAUGCGUAGAUAUGUAGAGGAACUCCCAGGGGGGAAGGGGACUCUCUGGUAUGUAACUGCACUUGGAGCGCGAAAGCGUGGGGACCAAACAGGAUUAGAUUCCCUGGUAGUCCACGCACGUAAACGAUGAUUUAUAAGUGUUAGAGGGUUUCCGCCCGUGAGUGACACAGAUAACGCAAUAAACACUCCGCCUGGGGAGUACGGUCGCAAGUAUAAAACUCAAAAGAAUUGACGGGGGCCCGCACAAGCGGUGGAGCAUGUGGUUUAAUUAGAAGCAACGCGAAGAACCUUCCCAGGUCUUGACAUCCUGAGACACCCCUAGAGAUAGGAGUUUCCCCUUGGGGUCUCAGAGACACAGGUGGUGCAUGUUUGUUGUCAGCUCGUGUCGAGAGAUGGUGGGUUAAGUCCCGCAGCGAGCGCCCCCUCUGAUUUUAGUUGCCAGCAUUCAGGGGGGCUCUAUAAGGAGACUGCCGGUGACAAACCGGAGGAAGGUGGGGAUGACGUCAAAUCAUCAUGCCCCUUAUGACCUGGGCUACACACGUGCUACAAUGGAAGGUACAAAGGGCAGCAAGCCCGCGAGGUUUAGCAAAUCCCAUAAAACCUUUUUCAGUUCGGAUGGCAGUCUGCAACUCGCCUGCGUGAAGCUGGAAUCGCUAGUAAUCGCGGAUCAGCAUCCCGCGGUGAAUACGUUCCCGGGCCUUGUACACACCGCCCGUCACACCAGGAGAGUUGUCACACCAGAAGUCGUGAGGUAACCUUGGGGACCAG
This 1784-nucleotide ribosomal RNA is filed under the name Bacillus sp. MB90. Its description in RNAcentral is "bacterial SSU rRNA". It matches the Rfam family "Bacterial small subunit ribosomal RNA". The record is from RNAcentral. Lineage: Bacteria; Bacillati; Bacillota; Bacilli; Caryophanales; Bacillaceae.